CGGGAGUAACGCGUGGGUAACCUGCCUCAUACAGGGGGAUAACAGUUAGAAAUGACUGCUAAUACCGCAUAAGCGCACAGUGCUGCAUGGCACAGUGUGAAAAACUCCGGUGGUAUGAGAUAGACCCGCGUCUGAUUAGCUAGUUGGUGGGGUAACGGCCUACCAAGGCGACGAUCAGUAGCCGGCCUGAGAGGGUGAACGGCCACAUUGGGACUGAGACACGGCCCAA
RNAcentral lists this ribosomal RNA (229 nucleotides) under uncultured bacterium. Its description in RNAcentral is "partial 16S ribosomal RNA". It matches the Rfam family "Bacterial small subunit ribosomal RNA", at positions 106 to 334 of the family's 1533-position model. The record is from RNAcentral.